CCCUUAGAUGUUCUGGGCCGCACGCGCGCUACACUGUUUGAUUCAGCGAGUCUUAACCUUGACCGAAAGGUUUGGGUAAUCUUCUAAAGUCAAACGUGAUGGGGAUCGAUCAUUGCAAUUAUUGAUCGUGAACGAGGAAUUCCUAGUAAAUGCAAGUCAUCAGCUUGCGUUGAUUACGUCCCUGUCCUUUGUACACACCGCCCGUCGCUACUACCGAUUGAAUGGUUUAGUGAGAUCUCCGGAUUGGCUCUGUAGGUCCCGCAAGGGAUUUAUUAGUAGCCAAGAAGCUGCUCAAACUUGAUCAUUUAGAGGAAGUAAAAGUCGUAACA
Molecule: ribosomal RNA, 329 nt
Filed under: uncultured eukaryote
Lineage: Eukaryota
Description: partial 18S ribosomal RNA
Rfam family: Eukaryotic small subunit ribosomal RNA
Source: RNAcentral